CCUAACACAUGCAAGUCGAGGGGCAGCGGGGAUAAGCUUGCUUAUCCGCCGGCGACCGGCGCACGGGUGCGCAACGCGUAUAGAAUCUGCCUUGUACUGGGGAAUAGCCCAAAGAAAUUUGGAUUAACGCCCCAUGGUAUGUAAUUGUGGCAUCACUAUUACAUUAAAGGCUACGGUACAAGAUGACUAUGCGUCCCAUUAGUUAGUUGGUAAGGUAACGGCUUACCAAGGCAGCGAUGGGUAGGGGCCCUGAGAGGGGGAUCCCCCACACUGGUACUGAGACACGGACCAGACUCCUACGGGAGGCAGCAGUGAGGAAUAUUGGACAAUGGGCGGGAGCCUGAUCCAGCCAUGCCGCGUGCAGGAAGACGGUCCUAUGGAUUGUAAACUGCUUUUGUACGGGAAGAAUAAGGACUACGUGUAGUCUGUUGACGGUACCGUAAGAAUAAGGAUCGGCUAACUCCGUGCCAGCAGCCGCGGUAAUACGGAGGAUCCGAGCGUUAUCCGGAAUCAUUGGGUUUAAAGGGUCCGUAGGCGGGCCAUUAAGU
This 548-nucleotide ribosomal RNA is filed under the name bacterium Km1. Its description in RNAcentral is "bacterial SSU rRNA". It matches the Rfam family "Bacterial small subunit ribosomal RNA", at positions 47 to 588 of the family's 1533-position model. The record is from RNAcentral. Lineage: Bacteria; Pseudomonadati; Bacteroidota.